This 254-nucleotide ribosomal RNA is filed under the name uncultured bacterium. RNAcentral describes it as "partial 16S ribosomal RNA". It matches the Rfam family "Bacterial small subunit ribosomal RNA", at positions 524 to 776 of the family's 1533-position model. The record is from RNAcentral.
UACGUAGGGGGCGAGCGUUGUCCGGAUUUACUGGGCGUAAAGGGCGCGUAGGCGGCCUGGUUUGUCGGGGGUGAAAGGUCCGGGCUUAACCUGGACAGGUCUCUCGAAACGGCCAGGCUUUGAGGGCGGUAGAGGCGGGUGGAAUUCCGGGUGUAGUGGUGAAAUGCGUAGAGAUCCGGAGGAACACCGGUGGCGAAGGCGGCCCGCUGGGCCGGCCCUGACGCUGAGGCGCGAAAGCGUGGGGAGCGAACUGA